GACGAACGCUGGCGGCGUGCUUAACACAUGCAAGUCGAACGAAGAGCGAUGGAAGCUUGCUUCUAUCAAUCUUAGUGGCGAACGGGUGAGUAACGCGUAAUCAACCUGCCCUUCAGAGGGGGACAACAGUUGGAAACGACUGCUAAUACCGCAUACGAUCUAAUCUCGGCAUCGAGGAAAGAUGAAAGGUGGCCUCUAUUUAUAAGCUAUCACUGAAGGAGGGGAUUGCGUCUGAUUAGCUAGUUGGAGGGGUAACGGCCCACCAAGGCGAUGAUCAGUAGCCGGUCUGAGAGGAUGAACGGCCACAGUGGGACUGAGACACGGCCCAGACUCCUACGGGAGGCAGCAGUGGGGAAUCUUCCGCAAUGGACGAAAGUCUGACGGAGCAACGCCGCGUGAGUGAUGACGGCCUUCGGGUUGUAAAGCUCUGUUAAUCGGGACGAAAGGCCUUCUUGCGAACAGUUAGAAGGAUUGACGGUACCGGAAGAGAAAGCCACGGCUAACUACGUG
RNAcentral lists this ribosomal RNA (510 nucleotides) under uncultured bacterium. Its description in RNAcentral is "partial 16S ribosomal RNA". It matches the Rfam family "Bacterial small subunit ribosomal RNA", at positions 28 to 507 of the family's 1533-position model. The record is from RNAcentral.